ACUUAAGAGUGAUAGUUGGGAUUUCUGGUUUUUGAGGCUUUUGAGAAAGAUAGGACAAAGUAGAAAAAAGGCAAGACUGAAAUAUACGUAUAACAAUGCACGAGAGGAUCUCUAGGUUUCCCUAAACGAGCCCAUCUGUUAAAAGAAGAAAUUUUCUUUUUAAGUUUUUUUUUUUUUCUAGUGCAACAAUAGAAAGGUAAAGGAAUGUUUCUUUUCUGGGGAUGGUGGAGAUCCACCUCCUCAAAUUUUGUCAUCUUACCACAACUUUUUACUACUUUUCUUUGCUAGGAUAUUCCCAUGCGUACGUAUUAUAUAUAUUCUAUACUUAAACAUGAUUUCAUUCACA
RNAcentral lists this long non-coding RNA (346 nucleotides) under Capsella rubella. Its description in RNAcentral is "long non-coding RNA (CRUB_LNC004718)". Lineage: Eukaryota; Viridiplantae; Streptophyta; Magnoliopsida; Brassicales; Brassicaceae. The record is from RNAcentral.